This 465-nucleotide ribosomal RNA is filed under the name Vreelandella stevensii. RNAcentral describes it as "partial 16S ribosomal RNA". It matches the Rfam family "Bacterial small subunit ribosomal RNA", at positions 338 to 795 of the family's 1533-position model. Lineage: Bacteria; Pseudomonadati; Pseudomonadota; Gammaproteobacteria; Oceanospirillales; Halomonadaceae. The record is from RNAcentral.
CCUACGGGUGGCAGCAGUGGGGAAUAUUGGACAAUGGGGGGAACCCUGAUCCAGCCAUGCCGCGUGUGUGAAGAAGGCCCUCGGGUUGUAAAGCACUUUCAGUGAGGAAGAACGCCUGGUGGUUAAUACCCAUCAGGAAAGACAUCACUCACAGAAGAAGCACCGGCUAACUCCGUGCCAGCAGCCGCGGUAAUACGGAGGGUGCGAGCGUUAAUCGGAAUUACUGGGCGUAAAGCGCGCGUAGGUGGCUUGAUAAGCCGGUUGUGAAAGCCCCGGGCUCAACCUGGGAACGGCAUCCGGAACUGUCAAGCUAGAGUGCAGGAGAGGAAGGUAGAAUUCCCGGUGUAGCGGUGAAAUGAGUAGAGAUCGGGAGGAAUACCAGUGGCGAAGGCGGCCUUCUGGACUGACACUGACACUGAGGUGCGAAAGCGUGGGUAGCAAACAGGAUUAGAUACCCGUGUAGUC